UACGUAUGGUGCAAGCGUUAUCCGGAUUUACUGGGUGUAAAGGGAGCGUAGACGGAGAAGCAAGUCUGGAGUGAAAGCCCGGGGCUCAACCCCGGGACUGCUUUGGAAACUGUUUUUCUUGAGUGCCGGAGAGGUAAGCGGAAUUCCUAGUGUAGCGGUGAAAUGCGUAGAUAUUAGGAGGAACACCAGUGGCGAAGGCGGCUUACUGGACGGUAACUGACGUUGAGGCUCGAAAGCGUGGGGAGCAAACAGG
RNAcentral lists this ribosomal RNA (253 nucleotides) under uncultured bacterium. Its description in RNAcentral is "partial 16S ribosomal RNA". It matches the Rfam family "Bacterial small subunit ribosomal RNA", at positions 524 to 776 of the family's 1533-position model. The record is from RNAcentral.